ACCUCAGACAGCAGCGGUGUAUAUUUUCGUAGCUAAUGGAAAACUAAACAAGUUAAACCUUUAAAAAAAGAGUCAGAUAUAAAACAUAAAAACUCUCGAAGUCUUAUUUUGUUCUUUUUCUAUCUUUUUUAAGCUUUAUUUGCUUAAAAAAAAACUAAACAAAACACGGUUAAAGAAGAAGAAGAAGGUAAGUCUUCCAGGCUGCUGCUGUUCAAUGACAACUGAAGCCUAAAUCCUGACCCAUCCUGUUCCCUCAUGAAGCAGAGGAGUGGAGCAAGUCAUGUGGGUUCCUCUGAUCUCUGUGAACUUCACUUUAACUGUGUAUGACACGACGAGGCGUACA
Hemibagrus wyckioides is the source of this 343-nucleotide long non-coding RNA. RefSeq lists it as uncharacterized. The record is from RefSeq and is a predicted model, not a curated record. Lineage: Eukaryota; Metazoa; Chordata; Actinopteri; Siluriformes; Bagridae. The transcript is spliced from 3 exons.